AACGCGAAGAACCUUACCUGGGCUUGAACCGCACCGGACCAUCUUUGGAAACAGAGACUUCCCGCAAGGGACCGGUGUAGAGGUGCUGCAUGGCUGUCGUCAGCUCGUGCCGUGAGGUGUUGGGUUAAGUCCCGCAACGAGCGCAACCCUUACUCAUAGUUGCUACCCGCAAGGGAGAACUCUAUGAGGACUGCUCCGGAUAACGGAGAGGAAGGUGGGGAUGAGGUCAAGUCAGCAUGGCCUUUAUGUCCAGGGCGACACACGUGUUACAAUGCGCGCUACAAAGCGUCGCGAACCCGCGAGGGGGAGCUAAUCGCAAAAAAGCGCGCUCAGUUCGGAUUGCAGUCUGCAACUCGACUGCAUGAAGCCGGAAUCGCUAGUAAUGGCGCAUCAGAACGGCGCCGUGAAUACGUUCCCGGGCCUUGUA
This 427-nucleotide ribosomal RNA is filed under the name uncultured Acidobacteriota bacterium. RNAcentral's name for it is "bacterial SSU rRNA". It matches the Rfam family "Bacterial small subunit ribosomal RNA", at positions 958 to 1385 of the family's 1533-position model. The record is from RNAcentral. Lineage: Bacteria; Pseudomonadati; Acidobacteriota.